GCCUCGCCCUCGCCUCCGGGAAAGAGCCCCCGCCGCCGGUAACCUUUAAGCAGCCCCGAGAGCUGAGGGCUCGGCUACCGGCCGCCACUCCCCCUAGAAGCAGUAACCCCGACCGCAAACUGCUGUCACUCAACAGUCUCUGAAGGACUGAACCUGAUGAGAUGAGUCUAGGGAAGGACAGAAAGCCUUUUAAAAUUACAUGUAAACAACGAGGGACCAGGGCAGGGAGGGCUGGGGUGGGGGGCAGUUAUUGCUUAAUGGUUACAGAGUUUCUCUUUGGGGUGAGGGAAAAGUUUCCGGAAUGGAUGGUGGUGAUGAUUGCACAACAUAAAUGCAAUUAAUGCCCCUCAACUGUACUCUUGAAAGUGGUUAAAAUGGGAACUUUUCAGUUGCAUAUAGGGUAACACCAUUAAAAAAAAAAAACAAAAAAAAAAACUAUUAAAAAGAAACUCCAUGUAAACUUACUGGCAUUGAGAUAUACAAAAUACAUUUUUUCAAGAAAAACCACGCCCUUCUUGUUUUGUAUGAAAAAGUAACACAUCCCCACCUAAGACCCCACUUGCAUGGACCAAUGGUGCCACGGACUGACUGGAAACAUGAUAUUCUGUAAUCCUGUGGCUACAAAAACCACCCUGGGGCCCUCGGAGUUAUUCCCCCUUCUCAGGAGCCCAAGAUGGAUAACGAAUUCCUCUCCUCAGCAGAUCAAUUGCCUCUACUUACAGGCUGGCACAUACAACCUCUUGCCCCACCACUCGCCCCCUGACUCUGGUGAGUGAUGACGGCCAGAGAGGAAGGGGCUUCUGAAGAGGAAGCUGAAAAUACUAAGAAAUCAACAUGGGCAUUUAAGAGCCAAGUCCUUUCCGCACCACAGAAUAUGCUUUGCUAUUUAUCUUGUUCCCCGUCUCUGCUUCACCAACUUGAUGGAGGAUGGUUGGACUGACAUAAAAACCAGCUCUACAAGAACAGAGGUGAUGGAUGGAGCUGUUCCAAGCACCAGCCAAAAUGGCUCUAAGAGAUGCCUCGGGCUCCCUGUUAACUGUUUUAUGAGGGGACCAAUACUUUUUCCCUCUCUUGUUUAAAGAAUAAAUUAGCAGAACAAGUACCUUCAAAACAGGGUAUUGUUAUACUGGAAGAAAGUGGAAAGCCUUUGGAAAGCCUUUGGAAUGUUAUAGAUGUGUGAGGGCAGUUAUAAUAACUGAAGCUGGGUUAUGGAAGGCUUUUUCCAUUUGCAGCUGUUUGGUUUCAGGGUACAUGGUUUAACUGGGUUGUAUUUAAUUCCAUGUAAUAACAAACUAUGCUAUAAAGUAGUCCUACCGUAGAAAUGCAAUGUUUCAGUGGUAACAGAAAGAAAAUUUUAUCAUCAAUGGGAGUCUUAAAAAGAAUGCACAGAAGCUACAAAUGAGCCAUGUUAAGGAAGUGGGGAGGGGAAAGAAUCUUAAAGAAAAAAAAAAAAAUUAAGGAGGGCAGAUUUGCAUGACUUGAGCUAAAGCAAAGACUCUUUCAACUCAGGGAGAACAAUCAAAUUGCAAUAAGGCAUCUUAUUCUUCAAAUGUUUCUUAAUAAGUACAACAGCAGAGGUUUCAAGAGUGAAUUUAGCAUUCUACUUUUUUGUUCCCUUCCUGGAGUGCAGAGGGCCUUUCACUACUUUUCUUUCCUCUUAUUUUGAAGGUUAAUUAUGAACUGGGAGCGUCUCAAGCAUCCUGGCACUUGGGACUCAUCCACUGUCUAAGAAUAUUGUCUGCCCUGCACAGCAAGAACUAACUUAGGAAGCAUCCAAAUUUGGAACUCCUUUCAGAGGCCUCGGGACCAAUUUGGAGUCAUGGCGUUCUAUGGAAUGACAAAUACCCACUGCGUUUCCACGUGUCUUCAAACAAGAGCACACUGAUCUCACUGCUGAAUUUGACCUCCACACUUCACCUCUCGCGGAGAAGGUUACUCAAGAGGACCAGGAACAGUGAAUUCAGUGUUUGACAGAGCUGACGUGACUAGACCACAGGUGUGGAGGUCAGAAGUCUCCGAUCAAGGAGCUGGCUGGGUUGACUCCUUCUGGGGCUCUCUGGAAGAAGCUACCCCAUGCCCCUCUCCCAGCUUCUGGUGGUUGCUGGCAAUCCUCAGCUCUCUGUGGUGUGUGGCUGCCUCUGUCUUCACAUCACCUUCUUCUCUGUGUAUCUGUGUCCUCUCCUCUUCUUAUAAGGCCACCGGUGCCUGGAUUUAGAGCCCAUUCACCUCGAGAUCCUUAGCUGACCACAUCUGGAAAUACCCAUCUCCAAAGAAGGUCACCUUCAGAGGUAUCAGGUGGACGUGAACUUGGGGAGGACACUAGUCACCCCAGUGUACUAGGACUCUGCAACCUGCCCCACGUGUGUAGUUUUCCUGCCCCACAUCUCCCACAGACCUUAGAACCAAAGUGGUGGGUAGCCUUGUCCUCAUGGACUUUGAGGAUGUGUAAGGAGGCGUGACCCUGUCCCACUGCGUUGUCAGUCUUGAGGAAAAAGAAAAAGGAGUCCUCAAAGCUCAAGUAGCCAAAUCUCCAGAGCCUUAGGUAGAAAAGACAGAAUAAAGGAGUGUAGUUGGCCUUGGGGACUGGGAAGUAAGGCCAGGGUGCUGUCUCCACACUGUCCCAUCAGCCCAGCCAGGAGGAAAUCAGAGCGUCACCCCUGAGCCCACUUCUCCGUCCACAGUCUCAACCCAAAUGAGGUUCUUCCUUACCUGUGGGGACAGGAGGACAACCCUGCUUUCCCCAUCCUUGCCCAGGGAAGAGGGAACCCCAACUCCUCCCUCCCCCAGCCAUUCACGGGCCACUUCAACAGCUUGUGCCGAGAGAUGACACAGUAAUGCUCCAAAGUCUCACUGGGCCAGGGAUGGAGGAAGCUGUGGGAGAAAUACAGGGAGGCAGUGACAAAGGCGCAUCGGAGGGCAGCACCACAUAC
Molecule: long non-coding RNA, 2930 nt
Organism: Choloepus didactylus (southern two-toed sloth)
Lineage: Eukaryota; Metazoa; Chordata; Mammalia; Pilosa; Megalonychidae
Exons: 3
Source: RefSeq, a predicted model, not a curated record